Non-coding RNA from Leptonychotes weddellii (Weddell seal), 1971 nucleotides. The record is from RefSeq and is a predicted model, not a curated record. Lineage: Eukaryota; Metazoa; Chordata; Mammalia; Carnivora; Phocidae.
UUUCUUUCCUUUUUUUUUUUUAACAGGUCUAACUGGUGUCAAGGGAGAAAAAGGAAAUCCAGGCAUUGGAACCCAAGGUCCAAGAGGCCCCCCUGGACCAGCAGGACCUUCAGGGGAGAGUCGGCCAGGAAGCCCCGGGCCCCCCGGCUCUCCUGGGCCCAGGGGUCCACCUGGUCACCUGGGGGUGCCUGGACCACAAGGUCCUUCUGGCCAGCCUGGAUACUGCGACCCCUCUUCGUGUUCUGCCUACAGGGUAGGAGAUCCGAUUCCUUACAAUGAUUACCAGCACUGAGGUGGAGCUCCUCCACUCUGAUUCCAUUGGCCUGGGCAAUUGGCUACGGAUCCAGAACUGUCCUGUUGACCACCCUCCUGCCCCCAGCCCCUGCCCCUAACCAUGGGCACUCCGCUUCCCUGCCUCACCUGCUUCCCUACCUGCCCACUGUCACGUCUCUUGCCCUCCCCGCUCCCGACACAUACACUGAUAAUACUGGAAAUUAACCAGAUCACAAGUGUCCGUUGUAAUAGAAACUGACUGCUCUGUAUCAGCCUGGAUGUCAGUAUAUGACUGUGUACCAAGAAUUUAUCCCCAACUUUUCUGUGUGAAGGCUCGGUAAUAGCUGUCUAAAUGUGCCUUCUCCUCUUUCCUGUCCCCACACAAGAUUGACGGGCACCUUUCUCCCUGACCAUCCUCCUCUCCAUCCUCCUCUGAUGCCCUCCCUUCCUGACUGUCCCCCUGGUGAUGGGUUUCUAACGUGAGAUCAGUUUUAAACAUUUAUUUUUCUGCUAAAAUUCUGCUGAGAUUCAGGGUUCCUUUUGUAAAUAAAACACAUGCUAUUUAAGCAGUUGGCCGUGAUUCUAGUUUUCUAACCGUUUCUGUAACGGAUCUGUCCCUUCUUUGCUAACCAUCUGAAACCUCGCGGGGAAGUGCAAGCGGCAUGGUGGUCAAGCAAGCUACUACUUUCCACCCAAGCAGGCUUUCUCUCUCGUGUAUUGACCAAAUCUGUGUCUCUUAUGGACCUGUGUGAGGGGAGAAUAUCAAUUUACAGUUCCUGGUCCUAUCAAGUCCCCACCCCACUCUUCCUCUCUAGCUCCCCAUCCCGAUCAACCGGAAUUCACUCCUGUCCAAGAUGAGCUAGAAGCCAUGGAACUGUGGGGCUCGGGCAUCUGAUCGCCUCAGGACAAAUUCAAAGAGCAACUGCAAGAACUCUUAGAGAAACUUAUUCAAGAAGAAUGUCAUUAUGUGGUUUGUAUGCUACCUUUGGGGGGCUUAUCUCAGCAGCCUAAAUCUCCUUGGACAUUGCUAAUAUUGGCAUUAUUAGCAAAAAAAAUUAUAUUUUAAAAAACCCUCUUAAUCUAUGAUACCACAGGAUUUAUUUUUCUUUGUUAUUUUAAUGGCCUGCCAGAUGAUUUGUUUUUCCAGAGGAGAGUGCUCAAAGGAAAAUUGGCACACACAAAAAAAUUGAACUCUGGAAUCUUUUCUGUGUUAGAUGAUCUCAAGUCCUAAAGUGCAUCAAGACAGCUAUGAUUGUAUUCAAAGGAAAUGGGGCCCUCGCAGAAUAAGAAUUUAAAGAGAUUCAAAGAUUAUGCCAUUUAUCCCUAUCUCCUCUGGCCUUGCUGAAAAGAAAGAGGGAUAUUAUUGGAGAAACUACCUCUUGAUUAACUGAUCUGCCCAGCUCUGAGAUCACGUGGUACCUCAUUUCACUGGUGUCUAAGAAUAUGCAUCAGAAUAUAACCUUUCUGAAUUUGGUGAUUUUAAAAAUAGAUUUAGUUUUUUCAAUGGUUUGACAUGUAAAAUAGUGACUUUCCACCAGUUCUGAUGCAAAGAGAUCCAAUUUUGAUGAACGACUUAUCCAGCAGUAUUCCAAGGCUUGCCCUCUUUAUCUACAUGGAUUCCUUUGUACAUGCAGAUAAGUUUUUUGCAAACCCAUUUCCAUUCUCUUUUAUAAGCAAAUAAAAAUUUAAAACAACGUA